AUUGAACGCUGGCGGAAUGCUUUACACAUGCAAGUCGAACGGCAGCACGGGGGCAACCCUGGUGGCGAGUGGCGAACGGGUGAGUAAUACAUCGGACCGUGCCCAAUCGUGGGGGAUAACGUAGCGACAGUUACGCUAAUACCGCAUACGAUCUACGGAUGAAAGCGGGGGACCGUAAGGCCUCGCGCGAUUGGAGCGGCCGAUGUCAGAUUAGGUAGUUGGUGAGGUAAAGGCUCACCAAGCCGACGAUCUGUAGCUGGUCUGAGAGGACGACCAGCCACACUGGGACUGAGACACGGCCCAGACUCCUACGGGAGGCAGCAGUGGGGAAUUUUGGACAAUGGGCGCAAGCCUGAUCCAGCCAUUCCGCGUGCAGGAUGAAGGCCCUCGGGUUGUAAACUGCUUUUGUACAGAACGAAAAGGUUUCUACUAAUACUAGGAGCUCAUGACGGUACUGUAAGAAUAAGCACCGGCUAACUACGUGCCAGCCGCCGCGGUAA
This 500-nucleotide ribosomal RNA is filed under the name uncultured bacterium. RNAcentral's name for it is "partial 16S ribosomal RNA". It matches the Rfam family "Bacterial small subunit ribosomal RNA", at positions 30 to 523 of the family's 1533-position model. The record is from RNAcentral.